Molecule: long non-coding RNA, 1220 nt
Organism: Ceratitis capitata (Mediterranean fruit fly)
Lineage: Eukaryota; Metazoa; Arthropoda; Insecta; Diptera; Tephritidae
Exons: 3
Source: RefSeq, a predicted model, not a curated record
UCGUAAAAAAUUGAAAAACAAAAUUUGCGGCUACAAAAAUUGUAACAAAAAAAAUCAACAACAACCAAAUUGUGCAGUUCUACCAACGCCAAACGUCAAAACGAGUCAAUGCAGCGUUGUUUUUGUUGUUAUUUGUUUAAUUUUUACUUGUCCAACAACGUAACGGCGGCGCGUGUAGUGCAGCAACAUCAUUAAAAAGUUUGCUAUUAUUCAAAGGGCAAGAAUAUACAAGAGCAAAACGAAAACAAAAAAAAAAAAAACAAACAAAAAACAAAACAUUACAAGAAUAAGUGGAAGAAAAGUAAAUAAAGAAAAUAAAAAUCAAACACAACAACAACAACAACAACAAUCAAGCAACCUUUCAAUAAACAUCAAACAUCGCCUAACACGCACAGCAGCAAACAACUCGAGCGCAUUGCGGGUGAAAAAAUUUUGCAUGCACUAAAUACAUAUAUGCACAUACAUAUGUACUUAUGUAUAGUGUUGUGGGUGUAAAGAAAAAAUAAAAAAAAAGAAACAAAAAAACAAAAAAUAACUGCAAAAGUGUAGAAAAACUUGGUCACGCGUGCAAAUUUAUCAGCAGCACAAAAACCACCAGCGCUUCAGCAGGUUUUUGUUUUGUCUAACCAACCAGCCGCCACCACCGACUGCGCGGCGCAGAGUUUGAGUCGCUGUUACGACGCUAUCUACGACUUUGCUGCAUUUUCUGGAUAAUUAGUAUGCGGUUUCAGUGAAAAAGUGAUAAAAUUUUCAAACAAAAGUGUACAAUUUCCUUUCAACUCACGUGAGCGCAGACCGAAUAUGCGCGUUGACAACUGCGGUAGCGAAUGCAAAACAAAUAAAUGCAACAAUAAAAUUGUAUUGCAACAUCAAAUAAGCCGCACAAUAAAAGCAAUAAAAUCGAAAUUAACAAAUUCAACAAGAAUAAUAAAAACAAAUAACCACAUUAUAAGUGCAGCUGUGGUGGCACACAAUUCGUGGUAGCCACGAUAAAGCAAAGUGGCAAUAAAGCAAUAAGCAACAAAGUAGAGUGAAAAAAAUGCGGUAAAAUAAAAACGUUUAAACCAAUCAAAUUAACAAUCAUUAAAAUAUUCAUAUAACGUUAAAUGCGUAAUUGGAGAGACCACUAAUACAUGCAUACAUAUGAUACAAACAAACAAACGUUUAUCAAGCAAACGGUAAGUGUAGAAUAUCGUUAUCAACAUUAAAAAAAAAUUGUG